AACGUAGGUUCCGAGCGUUAUCCGGAUUUACUGGGCGUAAAGCGCGUUCAGGCGGUUUGGCAAGUCGGGCCUGAAAUCUCUCGGCUCAACCGGGAGAGGUUGUCCGAUACUGCUGGACUUGAGGGCAGUAGAGGGUGGUGGAAUUCCGGGUGUAGUGGUGAAAUGCGUAGAUAUCCGGAGGAACACCAGUGGCGAAAGCGGCCACCUGGACUGCACCUGACGCUGACACGCGAAAGCUAGGGGAGCGAACGGG
This 253-nucleotide ribosomal RNA is filed under the name uncultured bacterium. Its description in RNAcentral is "partial 16S ribosomal RNA". It matches the Rfam family "Bacterial small subunit ribosomal RNA", at positions 524 to 776 of the family's 1533-position model. The record is from RNAcentral.